CGGGAUAAAGGCCACCAAGGCGACGAUCGGUAGCCGGACUGAGAGGUUGAUCGGCCACAUUGGGACUGAGACACGGCCCAGACUCCUACGGGAGGCAGCAGUGGGGGAUAUUGCACAAUGGGGGAAACCCUGAUGCAGCAACGCCGCGUGAAGGAAGAAGGUCUUCAGAUUGUAAACUUCUGUCCUCAGGGAAGAUAAUGACGGUACCUGAGGAGGAAGCUCCGGCUAACUAC
RNAcentral lists this ribosomal RNA (233 nucleotides) under uncultured bacterium. RNAcentral's name for it is "partial 16S ribosomal RNA". It matches the Rfam family "Bacterial small subunit ribosomal RNA", at positions 253 to 504 of the family's 1533-position model. The record is from RNAcentral.